This 375-nucleotide long non-coding RNA is filed under the name Elaeis guineensis (African oil palm). Its description in RNAcentral is "long non-coding RNA (EGUI_LNC045464)". The record is from RNAcentral. Lineage: Eukaryota; Viridiplantae; Streptophyta; Magnoliopsida; Arecales; Arecaceae.
AGGUGGGUAUAGAGUAGUCCAUACACUCUUAGAGUAGGGAUAGUGAAGCAUAAGGUGGUCUAAUAUCUCAGAAGAGUUAUAGUAGAGGACACAUCUACUAGGGCUGCUCAGUCUUUUUUUUUGUAAGAUCUCGGUAGUGAGAAUUUUUGAUUGUUGGUUAACCAAUUAAAGAUUUUGCAUUUCUCUAGAAUCGAGAGCUUCCUGACAAUCUUUUCCAGAUGUGACUGUACCCCACUAUUUAUGAGGAAUUUGUAGCAUGCUGAAACCAAAUAUUUGUGGCUACUAAACCAUUUCUAGGAUCUCCUGUCAUCCUCACCAUCCAGCUGUAUUGAAUUCAGUAAGUGAGUAAGCAUGUGAAAUUCAUGAAGGGCCAAC